This 25-nucleotide unclassified non-coding RNA is filed under the name Dictyostelium discoideum. The record is from RNAcentral. Lineage: Eukaryota; Evosea; Eumycetozoa; Dictyosteliales; Dictyosteliaceae.
UAGAGGUGUCAGAAAAGUUACCACA